AAAAAAUAUUCCCAGGGCCCUUCAUUCCCUUCCUUUCCCCUGUCAAGAUAUUACUUAAUUUAAAUGCUGCCAAAGUUAAUAAUGAAAGACGACAUCCUCUGGUGUGUCAGAGCUCAGUGCCCAAGAAGAAAAGCAAGAGUGCCUUUCUGCACUCCUGUCUUUGCUAAAUUCAACCUGGAAAAAAACUAGAGCAGAUUCAGGGAUACUGUAAUUAGCAGGAUUUAAAAUGAUCUCUGCAGGUCACUUUUCUUGGCCCAGAAUUGCCCAAGAACUCGACACCUGAAGUGGAUAUCUGAGGUGCCUGUGCCAUCAGAGGGUGCCCACAGUGUAUGUGCCACCCACAGGAAAACAAACUGCCCUGGAACAUCGGCUUUCCCUUACAGGAAUGAUGGAAAGUGGGAAGAGCACAGUUCAAAGAUUCAUUCCAGGAUUUUUGCUAGUACCUACUUUCUCUUUUUCACAUCAAGAACACCGAGCAGCACCAAAGAGAAGAAACUGCAUCAUCUAACUGCUGGAAGAGAUGAAACUCUGUGCAACCCUUCAUGUCAAAUAAUAAAGGGUAAUUAAAAGUUGUGUUUUUCCCCCUGCUGAGGAGAGGGGCUUGACCAAAGCCAUUUGGGGCAUGGAACACCAAACCCAAGCUGACUGUUGGUGUCAGUAGUGUGGGUGGCACCUGUGAACCAAGUUCUCCAUAACCAAAGGAGUUAUAGCCUGUUUUAAAUAUUUACCUCCUGAAAACAGUCAGGUCAAACAGAAAAUUAAGAUCUAAAAAUUAUAUUUAUUCAAUUUAUUUAAUUAUUAAAUUUAAAAUUAAAUUUUAUAAAGAUCAAACAGAAAUUAACACACUGGCUGAGAAUGAGACUUUCCCAGUGAGACAGCGCAAGACUAUUUAAAAAACUGCCCUAAAGAGCAGAGUCAUCAGCGUUCCUGGUAGUGCAGCUGUGUAUCUUUGAAAAUCAGGCACCCUUUAAGCACAUUUUCAUCAUAAUAUAACCAAUAUACAUUUUAUUAUAUUUCCUUUCCCUGUUCUACUUCUGGUUUAACCAUGUGUGAACCAAGCUAACAUGAUUAGACACCUUGUUUUUCACCAGUCAUUUCUGUUUGCAGUCUUCCAUAAAGUGCUUCAAAUGAAUUUUAAUAUGUUGAUGGUACUUACUGGAGAGAUUAAUAUUCAUAAUAAAUACCCCUUAGAAAUAAUCUUCA
Molecule: long non-coding RNA, 1203 nt
Filed under: Cyanistes caeruleus (blue tit)
Lineage: Eukaryota; Metazoa; Chordata; Aves; Passeriformes; Paridae
Description: lncRNA (ENSCCEG00000009066.1)
Source: RNAcentral